RNAcentral lists this ribosomal RNA (160 nucleotides) under Encalypta armata. RNAcentral's name for it is "5.8S ribosomal RNA". It matches the Rfam family "5.8S ribosomal RNA". Rfam says of the family: 5.8S ribosomal RNA (5.8S rRNA) is a component of the large subunit of the eukaryotic ribosome. It is transcribed by RNA polymerase I as part of the 45S precursor that also contains 18S and 28S rRNA. Lineage: Eukaryota; Viridiplantae; Streptophyta; Bryopsida; Encalyptales; Encalyptaceae. The record is from RNAcentral.
AAAACAACUCUCAGCAACGGAUAUCUUGGCUCUUGCAACGAUGAAGAACGCAGCGAAAUGCGAUACGUAGUGUGAAUUGCAGAAUUCCGCGAAUCAUCGAGUCUUUGAACGCAAGUUGCGCCCGAGGCUUGUCCAAGGGCAUUCCUGUCAGAGCGUCMUS